UUGUGCCGGGUUAGUCUUCUACGACCAGCUCCUUCUGAACUCCCCCAGGGUGGGAACGCAGCAAGGGUAAGAGGUUGUAGCGGUGCGAUAGAAGGUGCUAGCCCACUU
Molecule: non-coding RNA, 108 nt
Organism: Pedobacter glucosidilyticus
Lineage: Bacteria; Pseudomonadati; Bacteroidota; Sphingobacteriia; Sphingobacteriales; Sphingobacteriaceae
Source: Rfam